RNAcentral lists this long non-coding RNA (698 nucleotides) under Nicotiana benthamiana. RNAcentral describes it as "long non-coding RNA (NBEN_LNC030682)". The record is from RNAcentral. Lineage: Eukaryota; Viridiplantae; Streptophyta; Magnoliopsida; Solanales; Solanaceae.
CCACCCCUAUCCAAAGGUCCAUACUUUUCCAACAAAUCAAACAAUCUAAAACCAACCCAUCAUCUUCCUCAUAAACCCCAUCUCAAACUCCUUCUCUCCGAUCACAAUUCCAAAAACCUAAAUCAAAGCAAAAAUGAUGCACAUGACCUUUUACUGGGGUAACAAAGUGACCCUUUUGUUUGAUUUUUGGAAAACCGAUUCUUGGCUAAGCUAUGCCCUCGCUUUACUCGCUUGUUUCAUCGUCUCCGUUUUUUACCAGUACAUGGAAGAUCGCCGUCAGCGAUUCAAGAUUCUGUCUUCAAAUUCCAAGAAAAACUACCCUCCCCCGUCGUCCAACGCCGCCGUGAAUACCCCUCUUCUUUACUCUUUCCCGACCGUCGGCGGUGUGUGGAAUUCGGCGAGAUUCGCGACGGCGAUUCUAUUUGGUAUUAAUUCGGCGAUUGGGUAUAUGCUUAUGUUGGCUAUUAUGUCAUUUAACGGCGGCGUUUUUGUUGCCGUCGUUUUGGGUCUGUCGAUCGGAUAUUUGCUUUUUAGGACCGGUGAAGAGGAUGUUCUGGUCGUUGAUAAUCCAUGUGCCUGUGCUUGAAAUUUUCUGCAUAUUAAUGUUACUUGUAAUGGGUUUGGUUCUUGUUUUACCAAUAGAAAUUAUAUGGAAAAAUGAUAGUAAUUAAGUUUUUCUUUUUUUUUUUUGGUUUUUA